This is a long non-coding RNA of Panicum hallii, 2047 nucleotides long. RefSeq lists it as uncharacterized. The transcript has 4 exons. The record is from RefSeq and is a predicted model, not a curated record. Lineage: Eukaryota; Viridiplantae; Streptophyta; Magnoliopsida; Poales; Poaceae.
UUCUGCCGCCCGCUCGCGUCCCUUCCUCCUCCUCCCCCGCGCCGUGCCUCCUCCUCCUCCGCCGCGCCCCUCCUCCUCCGUCCCCGCGCCUCUGCCUCGUGACGUCUCCACCCCACCUCCCCUCGCACGGCGCACCGCACCCAUUAUCAAAACCACCUCCCCGCACCCCGCAUUGUCGCCGUCGUGACGCCGCCCCACGCGCCGUAGCCGUGCCCGUCCUGCCGCGUCGUCUCCCUCCCCCCGCGCCGCUGCCGUCGCGCCGUCCAGGCCACCCCGACCCCAUCCCACCGCGACGCCCCGCCAACGUCGUCCCGCAUCGCCGCCGCCCCCACGCGACAUCAUGUUUUGCUCUCCCACGGCCUUCGCGAGCUGGCUGUUAGGGGCUCCGCUUGAGCUGCAAGACUGACGACUGCGUCACCAAACCGCCGAGGCGGAGCGCCCAACGGCCAGAGCAGCCAGUCCGCCCGUAGCCCCUGGGGCCAGCACCAACGCCCUCCAAAGUGAGCUACAGGGCGGCCGACACAAGUGCGCCGGCCCCUCGCGCUGAGGCGCCGCCGCGGAGAUGACCUAUCAAAGCCGCCCUCCCGUCGCGCGUAUCCACCGCCUUGUCGUCGCAAGGGGACGUGGUCCUCCCGUCGAGCACCAUCCUCAUCGUAUUGAGCUAUUGGGAGACGGCGACGCCGGCGGACAUCGUCAUCCCCAAGCCUAUGUACCAGAAUGCCGAAUCAGUUCUUCUGUUGCUGCAUGUACUCUGUGCAGCUUUUCCAGGUAUAUAGAUUUAUAGGAAAAAAUUAAAUAACAAUGUCUGAGCUCAAAUUAGUAUGAAGCCCAUCACUGGAUUGCUAUUAACUGAUAUAAGAUGGGAAAUUAGGUCUCAUUUUGUCUAUAAGUCUUUCUACUCAUGAGGAUGGCUGGCUGCAAUCCUGUAUUUCCCUCAGUCCUGACUUUUUUCUGCUCCUUCCUUUAGCAGGCAUCUUCAAGAAUCACCAAGUCUGCAAUUAGUACACCAUUCAAGUGAAUCCUUAAGUGGUUUAUACAUAUGAAUGAUUGACAUCCUGCAAUGGACCUCCUAAUAUUGCUAUCUUUGUGCAGUAUUUGUAUCGAACAAAGAUAGGGUAUUAAUUUGUCUUACUCUAAAUGUGUUUAGAACUAAACUGAUAAAUAAUUGUGCCAUUUGUACAAGCCAUUAGAUAGGUGAUUUGAUCCAUGUCACAAGAUAUAACUAUUUAUAAGAGAAUUCUUUUCUUUAUAUAUUUUUAAGCAGAACAUGCUAUAUGGGAUUCCGAUUAACAUGAAAGUAUGAAAAGGGUGUGCCCAGCCAUAGCGAAAAACAUAAGCAUCAUAGCUUUGGUGAUUUCACAGUGACCCUUCUAAAAUUUAAAUACUUUAGGUGUUGGAUGUGCACCUUUUAUUAGAAUUCAGAAAUCGCAAUCUGAUAGUAGGAAAUUUUAGUUCUGAAUGAUCUUGUAGGUGGAAAUUGCAAUGUCAAUUCAGGUUUCUGAUUCUGUUGAUUGUUUUUCCCCAAUCCCCGGUGAUGAUGCUUAGUUCUUUUUAGUGGAGACUAUACAUAUGAUUCAUUGUUUCCAUUGGGCUUAUUAGCAUCCAUUUGCUUCCAGUUUAUUCAAGGAAUCUAUUUGCUGCCAAUUCGGAUAAGUACUAAAACCAGAAAUUAUUACUAUGCAAUUUGCAGGUGUAGUGAGGCAAAAAAAAAGGAAACAAAGUUUAGCAGGAGCUAGAGAAUGGCAACUUGAAUGCUUGAGCAGCGAGAGAUCCUUCCAGUUUUCCCUCACCGUCCAAGUUUAACCGGUCCGGCUGGCCUGUCAGGGACUAGCUGGAAGAGUACAAGCGGCUUACUAGAAUCUGGGGGCAAGAUGAAAGGGAUCAAGAUCCCAAAAGAAACGAGAGAUGAGCCCACUGUACAGCAACAUGAAUGUCGAGCAUAUGAGCAAUGUCUUCCUGCUGCAGUUGCAGUCUCUGAUGAAACAAAUGAGAUCAAAGGAGAUGAGUGGAAUGUUUGGAGGUAUAGGCGGUGAGUGUUAAUUUUACA